GUCUAUGGUCAUACCAGCCCGAAUGCGCCUGAUCUCAUCUGAUCUUGGAAGCUAAGCAGGGUAGGCCUGGUUAGUAGUUGGAUGGGAGAGGGGCACCUGGGUAGCGCAGUCGUUAAAGCGU
Ailuropoda melanoleuca (giant panda) is the source of this 121-nucleotide non-coding RNA. NCBI's taxonomy places the organism in Eukaryota, Metazoa, Chordata, Mammalia, Carnivora, Ursidae. The record is from Rfam.